AGGUAACAUCAGCUACUCACAAGCUAAAGAUCAAAUGAUACAGAAGAUCAACAGGGCCCCUGAGCAAGGAUGGCAUUAUAUUUGUGAUAUAGUCCUUU
This 98-nucleotide small nuclear RNA is filed under the name Meriones unguiculatus (Mongolian gerbil). Lineage: Eukaryota; Metazoa; Chordata; Mammalia; Rodentia; Muridae. The record is from RNAcentral.